This 911-nucleotide ribosomal RNA is filed under the name uncultured archaeon. RNAcentral's name for it is "bacterial SSU rRNA". It matches the Rfam family "Archaeal small subunit ribosomal RNA", at positions 1 to 922 of the family's 1478-position model. The record is from RNAcentral.
UUCCGGUUGAUCCAGCCGGACCUGACUGCUAUCGGAUUGAUACUAAGCCAUGCGAGUCAUUGUAGCAAUACAAGGCAGACGGCUCAGUAACGCGUAGUCAACCUACCCUAUGGACGGGGAUAACCUCGGGAAACUGAGAAUAAUACCAGAUAGAACAUUAUACCUGGAAUGGUUUAUGUUUCAAAUAAUUUAUUGCCGUAGGAUGGGACUGCGGCCUAUCAGUUUGUUGGUGAGGUAAUGGCCCACCAAGACUAUUACAGGUACGGGCUCUGAGAGGAGUAGCCCGGAGAUGGGUACUGAGACACGGACCCAGGCCCUAUGGGGCGCAGCAGGCGAGAAAACUUUGCAAUGUGCGAAAGCACGACAAGGUUAAUCCGAGUGGUUUCUGCUAAAGGAACCUUUUGCUAGUCAUAGAACCACUAACGAAUAAGGGGUGGGCAAGUUCUGGUGUCAGCCGCCGCGGUAAAACCAGCACCUCAAGUGGUCAGGAUGAUUAUUGGGCCUAAAGCAUCCGUAGCCGGCUUUGUCAGUUUUCGGUUAAAUCCAUACGCUCAACGUAUGGGCUGCCGGGAAUACUGCAAGGCUAGGGAGUGGGAGAGGUAGACGGUACUCGGUAGGAAGGGGUAAAAUCCUUUGAUCUAUUGAUGACCACCUGUGGCGAAGGCGGUCUACCAGAACACGUCCGACGGUGAGGGAUGAAAGCUGGGGGAGCAAACCGGAUUAGAUACCCGGGUAGUCCCAGCUGUAAACUAUGCAAACUCGGUGAUGCAUUGGCUUGAUGCCAAUGCAGUGCCGCAGGGAAGCCGUUAAGUUUGCCGCCUGGAAGUACGUACGCAAGUAUGAAACUUAAAGGAAUUGGCGGGGGAGCACCACAAGGGUGAAGCCUGCGUUCAAUUGGACUCAACGCCGGU